Neurospora crassa OR74A is the source of this 674-nucleotide non-coding RNA. Lineage: Eukaryota; Fungi; Ascomycota; Sordariomycetes; Sordariales; Sordariaceae. The record is from RefSeq and is a predicted model, not a curated record.
AAAUUCCACAUUGUUUUCCAGAAACGGUUACUGUAUGGCUGCGCUCGGCUGCGUUGUAAGUCGGGAUAAGCCAUGCAUUUGAUGGAGUUGGGAUCACCCACACGUCCCUUGCGCAAUGAAAGCAGGCGAUAUCGCCAUCAAAAGGCUGCGAGAACGGCGACACCCUUGACUCGAAAGGACAAUGAUUGGCCGCUUGUUGGGGCUUCGGAUUUCUCAAGCAAUUGAACCCUCAUUAAGAUUAAGUAUGGAUCCCGUCUCCACGAGGUUCUGCCCCUCCACGGACAUAACGAGCGGAAUGAGAGAGUUCUUCAGCCCAGCCUAGUCCGUCUUGCCACGCCUUGCAUAUUAUCUAGCACGUCUCAAUCAGAUAGAGAGAGAAAAGGACCCUGCUCCAACGCUCUGUGCGGUGUCGAAUGCGCCCAACUCAAUGGAGGUCCCUGCGUCAUCGGGGUCAACAAAAAGGGUAUGUAACUACGUCAGAGGGGCAGAGGGAACAAGUCUCAGGGUUAGGGUGACGAUAAGAUUGUUUCCCGAUAAGAUAAACAGGUAAUCUUGGCGGGGUUAGGUGGUAGAGGUACACACACUAGGUAGUUCCUGCAAACUAAAAUGCACGGUAGCUGCACUCGUCGAUGCCGCCGGCAUUUGAUAUGGAGAUAUCAACAAACUUACACUUC